AGUGAACGCUGGCGGUAGGCCUAACACAUGCAAGUCGAACGGCAGCACAGUAAGAGCUUGCUCUUACGGGUGGCGAGUGGCGGACGGGUGAGGAAUACAUCGGAAUCUACUUUUUCGUGGGGGAUAACGUAGGGAAACUUACGCUAAUACCGCAUACGACCUACGGGUGAAAGCAGGGGAUCUUCGGACCUUGCGCGAUUGAAUGAGCCGAUGUCGGAUUAGCUAGUUGGCGGGGUAAAGGCUCACCAAGGCGACGAUCCGUAGCUGGUCUGAGAGGAUGAUCAGCCACACUGGAACUGAGACACGGUCCAGACUCCUACGGGAGGCAGCAGUGGGGAAUAUUGGACAAUGGGCGCAAGCCUGAUCCAGCCAUACCGCGUGGGUGAAGAAGGCCUUCGGGUUGUAAAGCCCUCUUGUUGGGAAAGAAAAGCAGCAGGUUAAUACCCCGCUGUUCUGACGGUACCCAAAGAAUAAGCACCGGCUAACUUCGUG
Molecule: ribosomal RNA, 492 nt
Filed under: uncultured bacterium
Lineage: Bacteria
Description: partial 16S ribosomal RNA
Rfam family: Bacterial small subunit ribosomal RNA
Source: RNAcentral